UACGUAGGGUGCGAGCGUUAAUCGGAAUUACUGGGCGUAAAGCGUGCGCAGGCGGCUUCGCAAGUCAGACGUGAAAGCCCCGGGCUCAACCUGGGAAUUGCAUUCGAGACUGCAUGGCUAGGGUGCGGAAGAGGGAAGCGGAAUUUCCGGUGUAGCGGUGAAAUGCGUAGAUAUCUGGAGGAACACCGGUGGCGAAGGCGGCAUCCUGGACCGGUAUUGACGCUGAGGCGCGAAAGCCAGGGGAGCAAACGGG
This 253-nucleotide ribosomal RNA is filed under the name uncultured bacterium. RNAcentral's name for it is "partial 16S ribosomal RNA". It matches the Rfam family "Bacterial small subunit ribosomal RNA", at positions 524 to 776 of the family's 1533-position model. The record is from RNAcentral.